This is an unclassified non-coding RNA of Callithrix jacchus (white-tufted-ear marmoset), 297 nucleotides long. It matches the Rfam family "Metazoan signal recognition particle RNA". From Rfam's summary of the family: The signal recognition particle (SRP) is a universally conserved ribonucleoprotein. It is involved in the co-translational targeting of proteins to membranes. The record is from Ensembl. NCBI's taxonomy places the organism in Eukaryota, Metazoa, Chordata, Mammalia, Primates, Cebidae.
GCCAGGUGUGGUGGCGCGUGCCUGUAGUCCCAGCUACUAGCAAGGCUGAGGUGGAAGGAUUGCUUGAGCCCAGUUCUGGGCUGUAAUGCGCUAUGCUGGUCGGGUGUCCUCACUAAGUUCGGCAUCAAGAUGGUGACCUCCAGGGAAGGGGGGACCACCAAGUUGCCUAAGGACGGGUAAACUGGCCCAGGUCAGAAACAGAGUGGGUCAAAACUCCCAUGCUGAUCAGUAGUGGGAUCACUCCUGUGAAUAGCCACUGCACUCCAGCCUGGGCAACAUAGCAAGACCCACACUCUA